GGGCCCGUGGCCAAGAAGGAUAAGGCGGCAAGCACGUAAGCUGCAAAUCGCGGGUUCGAAUCCCGCCGGGCCCG
RNAcentral lists this transfer RNA (74 nucleotides) under Hadesarchaea archaeon YNP_N21. Its description in RNAcentral is "tRNA-Thr". It matches the Rfam family "tRNA". From Rfam's summary of the family: Transfer RNA (tRNA) molecules are approximately 80 nucleotides in length. Their secondary structure includes four short double-helical elements and three loops (D, anti-codon, and T loops). Lineage: Archaea; Methanobacteriati; Hadarchaeota (SeqCode); Hadarchaeia (SeqCode). The record is from RNAcentral.